Molecule: ribosomal RNA, 253 nt
Filed under: uncultured bacterium
Lineage: Bacteria
Description: partial 16S ribosomal RNA
Rfam family: Bacterial small subunit ribosomal RNA
Source: RNAcentral
UACGGGGGGAGCAAGCGUUGUUCGGAUUUACUGGGCGUAAAGGGCGCGUAGGCGGCGCGGGCAGUCAACGGUGAAAGCUUGGGGCUCAACCCCGAGUCGGCCGUCGAUACUCCCGGGCUGGAGCACUGUAGAGGCAGGUGGAAUUCCGGGUGUAGCGGUGGAAUGCGUAGAGAUCCGGAAGAACACCGGUGGCGAAGGCGGCCUGCUGGGCAGUAGCUGACGCUGAGGCGCGACAGCGUGGGGAGCAAACAGG